UACGUAGGGUGCGAGCGUUGUCCGGAUUUAUUGGGCGUAAAGAGCUUGUGGGCGGCUCGUCGCGUCGGGUGUGAAAACUUGCGGCUUAACCGCAAGCCUGCACCCGAUACGGGCGGGCUAGAGUUCGGCAGGGGAGACUGGAAUUCCUGGUGUAGCGGUGAAAUGCGCAGAUAUCAGGAGGAACACCGGUGGCGAAGGCGGGUCUCUGGGCCGAUACUGACGCUGAGGAGCGAAAGCGUGGGGAGCGAACAGG
RNAcentral lists this ribosomal RNA (253 nucleotides) under uncultured bacterium. RNAcentral describes it as "partial 16S ribosomal RNA". It matches the Rfam family "Bacterial small subunit ribosomal RNA", at positions 524 to 776 of the family's 1533-position model. The record is from RNAcentral.